RNAcentral lists this transfer RNA (81 nucleotides) under Dothidotthia symphoricarpi CBS 119687. It matches the Rfam family "tRNA". From Rfam's summary of the family: Transfer RNA (tRNA) molecules are approximately 80 nucleotides in length. Their secondary structure includes four short double-helical elements and three loops (D, anti-codon, and T loops). Further hydrogen bonds mediate the characteristic L-shaped molecular structure. tRNAs have two regions of fundamental functional importance: the anti-codon, which is responsible for specific mRNA codon recognition, and the 3' end, to which the tRNAs corresponding amino acid is attached (by aminoacyl-tRNA synthetases). tRNAs cope with the degeneracy of the genetic code in two manners: having more than one tRNA (with a specific anti-codon) for a particular amino acid; and 'wobble' base-pairing, i.e. permitting non-standard base-pairing at the 3rd anti-codon position. Lineage: Eukaryota; Fungi; Ascomycota; Dothideomycetes; Pleosporales; Dothidotthiaceae. The record is from Rfam by way of RNAcentral.
GGUCAGAUGGCCGAGUGGUUAAGGCGCUAGCUUCAGGUGCUAGUGGAGCAAUCCUCGUGGGUUCGAGUCCCACUCUGAUCA